Molecule: transfer RNA, 72 nt
Organism: Camelus ferus (Wild Bactrian camel)
Lineage: Eukaryota; Metazoa; Chordata; Mammalia; Artiodactyla; Camelidae
Rfam family: tRNA
About the family: Transfer RNA (tRNA) molecules are approximately 80 nucleotides in length.
Source: Rfam
GAGGGUGCGGCUCAGUGGUAGAGCACAUGCUUAGCAUGCACAAGGUCCUGGGUUCAAUCCCCAGCACCGCCA